UGAGCAGGGAGAGGGCAAACCCUGC
Molecule: non-coding RNA, 25 nt
Filed under: Mus musculus (house mouse)
Lineage: Eukaryota; Metazoa; Chordata; Mammalia; Rodentia; Muridae
Source: RNAcentral